GAUGAACGCUGGCGGCGUGCCUAAUACAUGCAAGUCGAGCGAACAGAUGAGGAGCUUGCUCCUCUGACGUUAGCGGCGGACGGGUGAGUAACACGUGGAUAACCUACCUAUAAGACUGGUAUAACUUCGGGAAACCGGAGCUAAUACCGGACAAUAUAUUGAACCGCAUGGUUCAAUAGUGAAAGACGGUUUUGCUGUCACUUAUAGAUGGAUCCGCGCCGCAUUAGCUAGUUGGUAAGGUAACGGCUUACCAAGGCAACGAUGCGUAGCCGACCUGAGAGGGUGAUCGGCCACACUGGAACUGAGACACGGUCCAGACUCCUACGGGAGGCAGCAGUAGGGAAUCUUCCGCAAUGGGCGAAAACCUGACGGAGCAACGCCGCGUGAGUGAUGAAGGUCUUCGGAUCGUAAAACUCUGUUAUUAGGGAAGAACAAAUGUGUAAGUAACUAUGCACGUCUUGACGGUAACUAAUCAGAAAGCCACGGCUAACUACGUG
This 497-nucleotide ribosomal RNA is filed under the name uncultured bacterium. RNAcentral's name for it is "partial 16S ribosomal RNA". It matches the Rfam family "Bacterial small subunit ribosomal RNA", at positions 28 to 507 of the family's 1533-position model. The record is from RNAcentral.